AUACAUGCAGUCGAGCGAACAGACGAGGAGCUUGCUCCUCUGACGUUAGCGGCGGACGGGUGAGUAACACGUGGAUAACCUACCUAUAAGACUGGGAUAACUUCGGGAAACCGGAGCUAAUACCGGAUAAUAUAUUGAACCGCAUGGUUCAAUAGUGAAAGACGGUUUUGCUGUCACUUAUAGAUGGAUCCGCGCCGCAUUAGCUAGUUGGUAAGGUAACGGCUUACCAAGGCAACGAUGCGUAGCCGACCUGAGAGGGUGAUCGGCCACACUGGAACUGAGACACGGUCCAGACUCCUACGGGAGGCAGCAGUAGGGAAUCUUCCGCAAUGGGCGAAAGCCUGACGGAGCAACGCCGCGUGAGUGAUGAAGGUCUUCGGAUCGUAAAACUCUGUUAUUAGGGAAGAACAAAUGUGUAAGUAACUAUGCACGUCUUGACGGUACCUAAUCAGAAAGCCACGGCUAACUACGUGCCAGCAGCCGCGGUAAUACGUAGGUGGCAAGCGUUAUCCGGAAUUAUUGGGCGUAAAGCGCGCGUAGGCGGUUUUUUAAGUCUGAUGUGAAAGCCCACGGCUCAACCGUGGAGGGUCAUUGGAAACUGGAAAACUUGAGUGCAGAAGAGGAAAGUGGAAUUCCAUGUGUAGCGGUGAAAUGCGCAGAGAUAUGGAGGAACACCAGUGGCGAAGGCGACUUUCUGGUCUGUAACUGACGCUGAUGUGCGAAAGCGUGGGGAUCAAACAGGAUUAGAUACCCUGGUAGUCCACGCCGUAACGAUGAGUGCUAAGUGUUAGGGGGUUCCGCCCCUUAGUGCUGCAGCUAACGCAUUAAGCACUCCGCCUGGGAGUACGACCGCAAGGUUGAAACUCAAAGGAAUUGACGGGACCCGCACAAGCGGUGGAGCAUGUGGUUUAAUUCGAAGCAACGCGAAGAACCUUACCAAAUCUUGACAUCCUCUGACCCCUCUAGAGAUAGAGUUUUCCCCUUCGGGGGACAGAGUGACAGGUGGUGCAUGGUUGUCGUCAGCUCGUGUCGUGAGAUGUUGGGGUAAGUCCCGCAACGAGCGCA
RNAcentral lists this ribosomal RNA (1065 nucleotides) under Staphylococcus sp. AMF3826. Its description in RNAcentral is "bacterial SSU rRNA". It matches the Rfam family "Bacterial small subunit ribosomal RNA", at positions 51 to 1100 of the family's 1533-position model. The record is from RNAcentral. Lineage: Bacteria; Bacillati; Bacillota; Bacilli; Caryophanales; Staphylococcaceae.